Non-coding RNA from Xylaria palmicola, 111 nucleotides. The record is from the annotation of a GenBank genome assembly. NCBI's taxonomy places the organism in Eukaryota, Fungi, Ascomycota, Sordariomycetes, Xylariales, Xylariaceae.
GGGAGUUUGGCCGAGUGGUUAAGGCGCUGUGUUUAGGUCAUGCCUGGGUCAACCUGGUAUACCAUAAACCCGCAGUGGGAAACCGCGCAGGUUCGAAUCCUGCAGCUCUCA